AUCGACCAAAAGGGGGAACCAAGGGGAAAACCCUAAGUUCUACAAAUUUGCAAGAUUGAAAGGGAAAUCAAGGUCAAAUAACCUGCAUGAACUCGAUUCUCAAGUAAUCUAAGCUUGUUUUACAAAGAGGCGUCAAGGAAGAAGGAUCAAAUCAAGUGAAGCAUCAAGGUGAUCACGACCGAGGUAAAUCCCAUGUCUAGUUAUCUAGCUUGCCCGGAAUCGAACACACCUCAUGCC
Long non-coding RNA from Helianthus annuus (common sunflower), 237 nucleotides. RefSeq lists it as uncharacterized. NCBI's taxonomy places the organism in Eukaryota, Viridiplantae, Streptophyta, Magnoliopsida, Asterales, Asteraceae. The record is from RefSeq and is a predicted model, not a curated record. The transcript has 3 exons.